CUCUAAUUCUCUAUCUCUCCUGUACUUGUUGCCCAGAGCUGUGUUAGUCACCCACACUCGCCCGUACUGAUCCGUGGCCACCAUCUCGGGUGGUCGGAUCCCGUGACUAGUCUACGUUUUGGGAAGACGCACAGGGAUUGAUUCCUCGUGGCAGUCGAGCACUGUAGACAUUCCUUCUUCUUCUUCUCCCUAUCUCUGUCCUUUCUACGGGGAGAACCUUGUUUAUUGAAAAUGGGACAGGAAUAUGCUAGACCUUCGAAGGGUCUCUUAGCCUGUGACAUUGUUAAAGAAAGAGCAGGAGAGGAAGCUAUGUUAAAGAUGAAGAAA
This is a non-coding RNA of Pelobates cultripes (western spadefoot toad), 327 nucleotides long. NCBI's taxonomy places the organism in Eukaryota, Metazoa, Chordata, Amphibia, Anura, Pelobatidae. The record is from the annotation of a GenBank genome assembly.